UAGGGAGUCGGACCUGCCCAGUGAAUUAUUUUUAACGGCCGCGGUACUCUGACCGUGCAAAGGUAGCAUAAUCAUUUGCCUUAUAAUUAAAGGCUAGUAUGAAUGGUUUGACAAGAAUAUAGCUGUCUCUUUGUAAUUUUAUAGAAUUUUAUCUUAAAGUGAAGAAGCUUUAAUUUAAUUAAAAGACAAGAAGACCCUAUCGAGCUUGAAAGAAAUUUUUAGAAAUUAAUUAAUAAAACUUAAAAAAUUCACUAAAAAACAUUUUAGUUGGGGCGACUAAGGAACAAAUAAAGCUUCCUUUAAUAAUAACAACAUUCAAGCGUAGAUCCAAAAUAUUUGAUCAAAGAAAUUAGUUACCGUAGGGAUAACAGCAUUAUCUUUUUUGAGAGUUCUUAUCGAAAAGAAGGUUUGUGACCUCGAUGUUGGACCAGAAUAUCCCAAAGAUGCAGAAGUCUUUAAAGGUUGGUCUGUUCGACCAUU
This 480-nucleotide ribosomal RNA is filed under the name Turris grandis. RNAcentral's name for it is "partial 16S ribosomal RNA". It matches the Rfam family "Bacterial large subunit ribosomal RNA", at positions 1846 to 2589 of the family's 2925-position model. Lineage: Eukaryota; Metazoa; Mollusca; Gastropoda; Neogastropoda; Turridae. The record is from RNAcentral.